GGAUUACGACAAUGACUUCUGUACGAUCUGACAAUGAAAAUUACAAGACACCCAGUAAAUGUGUGCGGAUUAUAUCUACUGCGUGAAUAAGUAUAGACAAUCAUUUUAAUGAAACCUGGCUAAUAUAUAUGAUUGAUUGGUUAUUUGGAGAAUAACAAUUCCUUUAAUUUAGUUUCUUAUUAAAGUGUGGUUCUUAUGGUAGCAAAUGUAACAAAUGCCUCUUUAGGUAGGUGAUUUCAUUGUUGACUAAUAGGCUUGUUUAAGUAUGUUCUGAUAUCAAAAAUAUGAAAUACUGAAUAUCUUUAAAACCAGUUAAGUUUAAGUUUCUAAGUUUAAUUCAAUUUGAUGAUAACAUAUAUUCAUUUUCGACAUCUUAAAAUAUAUUUUGGAAUGGCAAUACAUCACUUAGAUAUUUUUUAACGUUCGAGUUUGGGCUAUUAAUUCAAUAACUCAUAAAUACUGUAGAAUAUUUGUAUGAUCUUUUCUUCUCAUAUUUAAAGAUAUCUUCAAAUUGAUUUUAAGAUAUCCAAAAGGUGUUUCUAUUUGGAUAUCAGUGUUUCUUUUGAUUCUAUCCCGAAGUAAAAUAUUCUUUUCAUUUUCCCAAAUUCACUGUCUUCACAUUGGAGAUGGAGUGGAGGUAUUAUGUGGAUUCUGUUACUAUUCAAAUCGACACAUAACAACCCACCUAUAUUCCUAAGUUUUAAGGCAAUACCUUAAAUAGCUUUGACGUUAAUGUGGCGUCGAAUAGAGGUUUAGGUGUUUUGUGGGGAGGCGGUGACGAAUUUCUAAGCUACAAGAAACUAAUUGAUUCUUUGUGUGUGUGUGUGUGUGUGUGUGUGUGUGUGUGUGUGUGUGCGUGUGUGUGUGUGUGCGUGUGGUAAUGUGGAUUGUUUCACUGAUAAAAUUGUCUUAUCACAACCAUCUAAACUCCAAGUUUAAAGUUAAUAUCUUGAGUGGUUUUGAAGUUUUAUUAUUGACAAGAACAUAAAAUACAAAGGACAUUGGACAUUUUUACUCAAUGUGACCUUGACCUUCUGACCAAUUUAAUGCCCUCUCUGCACGUCGUCUCAUUGCCGCCUACCUACAUGCUUAUACGUUUGAAGUGAAUACCUUGACUGAUUAUCAAGUUAUGCUCUGGGCACAAGAUAUAAUAGACUAAUUUUACCUCGCUGUAAGUAUGACCUUUGAUUAACUUAUCUGGUUUCUGCUCUCUGCAAAUUGUCUUAUCGCAAUCCACCUAUAUGCCAAGUUGAAAGUCAAUACCUUGAGUGGUUAUUAAGUUAUGAUCUUGACACGAAAUAAGAGAGACACAUUUUACCUUUGAGCCCCAAUUGUGACCUACCUUGGACCCAACGACGUGGUUCUUGCGCUCUGCAUAUCGUCUUAUCGGUACCUACCUAUAUGCCAAGCUGAAAGUCAAUACCUUAAAUGGUUAUUGAACUAUUCUCCAGGAACGAAUUACUACGAACGGACAGACGACGAACGCAUGCACACACGCACGCGCCAUCAGGUAGUACGUCCGAUUUUUUUUCCAAAACGGGCGUAUCAUAAUGACGAAAAAUAGUUAAAGGAACAUUGCUCUGAAUAUUAUUUUACAAUGAUAAAGCUGCACUUCUUUAAAGGGACUUGGAGUACUUUCCGAUUUAAGCUUUAAGUAGAGAACUACUUUACAAAGGCACAACAAUAUCAUGAUAUUAGUCUAGGAGAAUAAGCAUUUAUAUCACGAAGCAACUGGUAUAAUUAUUAAAAACAUCCAAAUGGAGAUAGAGAACUAUAAGAAUAAGACAGCGAUAUUACAAAUCAUUUUUAUUCAUUCUUUGAUUCUCUUUAUAGAUAUCUUUAAUUUCAUUUGCGAUAUCAAAAAUAUCCAUUCAUUUCAUGAAAUAAUAUAUCAUUUAAUGGAAUCAACAAAAUAGUUCUAUCUUAAUAGUGCUACACCCCUUCUGCCAACGGUUUAAGAGGAUAAGCUUAAAGACAUUCAAUUGACUACGUUACUCAACAGGAUCAGAAACAGUUAAGACAUUAUAUUGUCAAUCUGCAUUUGGAUAAUCGUCAUAAAAUAGUGUAAAGUGUGUGAAAGACUGUAGCAAGCAAGAUUCUGUGCACAAUUAUAGAAACCCUCUUUUAGCUGUACGUGUUAAAGUCAUAAACAAUUUUUAGAAAGUUCGCUUGUUCAAAAUUAUCCGAAAUAAUGAAAACAUAUGACUUGUUUUUACUCAGUAUCACAUAUAAUUCAUAGCUUGUCUUAGGGCUAUUUCAGUCACUGCAUCUGCAUUGAGUUAACAAACACAUUCUAUGUUAUACUAUAAUGCAAACAAAUGUACAGGAAAAAAGGAAUUCAAACACUGCAAUGCUAAUUAUCUAAAUGAAAUAUGAUGCAAAAUACGUGCGCGUAUUUAUAGAUAUAGUUUUAGGAUUACUUUUGUGUAAUUAUUAGGUGAGUACAAGAUGCUAGACAGGACGUUCAGCGGACCAGGAACGUUAUUUCAGAACAUGAUCACAGAACGGGGGUUUCAAACCGCCAAGAUGUGAAUGUAUAUAUAAUUGAUGAGCGCAGGGAACCUGAAAUUCAACACAAUGAGAAUGUAAAUGCAAACAAUGAAAGCAAUAGGAGAGGAAUAAACAGAUGCGGAUACAUCUUUGAAAAUAUUAGAACCUAUGUAAGAUUUGUUGGCGUCAGAAUUUCGAACAGAAAUACUAAAUUACUAUCAGCGUUUAUAAUUGCCUUCUCAAAAAUUACAUUUGGCAGAUUUGUUGCAGAAUCCGAAAAAACAAUAGCCUGUGUAGUAAGAAGUUUCAGAGGAAGAUUCCAAGCAUGUAAAACGAACUGUUUGUCGAUUUGUGACAGGCGCAGUCAAGUUGACCUCUAAAUGUGUACCGGAAAGAUCGGUUGCUGUCUAUUUGUUUGUAAAAGCUUGCGUGGCAGCCGUUUUCUGGGGAGUUAUGUGCGUAUGGACUUUCAAACGAAUUCUAGGAAAAACUUUAGACAACCGCUUUGUGGAAGUGUAUCUUGUUGUAGAAUCGCUUUUCUCCAUUUGCUGGCUGUUUAUAGGAAUGUUUUAGCACGAUUUUCAUAAGGCAUAUUAUAUAAAACACUAUUUAAGAUAUUAAUUAUCAAGAAAUUACAAUUAAUAUAACUGUAGCAUUGUAUAUUAUCCUGAAUAAUUCUAACAUUAUUAUCAUUUGACAUUUAUGAUUUUAUAGUAUUUUCUGCAAAACCUGAAGUUCAACGAGAUGAGUAUACAUUUCACACAAAUCGCAUGACGAGAUGUGUCACUUUUUCAUGCAUAAUAUGCACGUGUGGCAGUGUGAGCUUGGAAACAUGAUAUUUAUAUAUGCUCUAAUUACAAAUUAGAGUACAAUUCCGUACAUUUAGAUUAUAUAAUUACAUGAGCUAAAUGGCGAAACUGUGUAAUUAGUUUGCAUGUGUUGUUUGUUUUUUGCAGUAAAAAACAAAGACAAAUAUCAAACAGGGAAUGCACGCAACAAAAACGCAGCCUCCUCAAAACGAAACCCACAGCACGCAGACGCGUGCAUCACACACACACACACACACACACACACAUGUAAACGCAACCAAUCGGGGAUGUAAGCUGUAAACCUACCAACUGGGAACUUCUUUAUUACUGUAGCUACAGUUAUCAUAUUUCUAUAAACUCUUAUUCUUAUGAUCUUAAAAUUAUCCGAGGCUUUAGAUUAAAGCUAUCUUCAAUUGUUAAGCAAUGAGAUUUUUCACAUUCAGAGCGGGGAAUAUUGUGUUUAAACCAACUGAGGUGAAUGUGUAACAAACCGGGUGUUUGUGUAUAGACGAAAUCUGGAAUUGUGUGUUUCAACAAAACGGGGAGUUAGUGUAAAGACUAAAUGAGGUACAAGUGUAUAACCAACCGUGUACGUGUGUAAAGUUAAAACGAGGAACUAGCUAUUAAAAUGGUGAAUGCGGAAGCUCCUGUUACAUAUCAUAUAUAUGAGAAAAGACAAUCGAGGGAGUUAAUUUGAUUUGAUGGGUUUUACGCCAUUUUAAACACUAUUUCAGUUAUGUCAGGUGGGCAGUUUACCCAACAAUCGUUCCUGGAAAAAUCAAGUACUAGUACUCAAGCUGUCAUCUUUCUUAAAUAAAGAGACCUGGUCGGUAGCAAGGAUUGAACCCAUGCUCCUUAAUCAGUGAGUACUUAAGAGUGAUUUUAAGUCAGCGAUUCUAACCACCCGAAAACAGAGGCGGUCAGACAAUAGAGAAAGUUCUAUAUUCUGUAUGUAGGUACAUGUAGCACGUCAAUCAUUCGACAUUCAAUCAAAAAUUGUCCAUGUCAAAUGUUAACAUUAAAAUAACUGUUUAUGACAAGACAUAGAACAAUCGAAGAACAAACCAGACUCAUGAUGCAGAGACAUAAUAAAGCACAAAACAGUAUCUUGUUUUAUCAGUUGUGUGCUUAAAUCACUUCCCAUUGCCUACAGCAACUUUUGAACUUCGAUAUUAUAAGAUUCUUUCACUGGAUGUAGGUGCAGAUAGGAAUAUCCGGCCUCGAGGGUAACUGUUUAGGCGGUAACGAGGCUCUCUGUUGAGUUACCGCCUAAACAGUUACCCGAGAGCCGGAUAUUUCCAUCUGCACCUAUAACCAGUGGUAGAAUCUUUUUCUUGCAUACCGGUUUCAAGAAAUAAUAAUAAUAAUAAAAAUAAAAUCAACUGAACAGCUGUAGCGAGCGAGAAAAAAUGCCCCAAUCCCUGGACCCGCCCUUGAAUCUGUGCUAAGCAGACAAUUUAUUUUUCGUUCAAUUCUACUCGUUCAAAAGACAGAAUUAACAGUCAAACAUAUUAGUGUGGUUCCUUUAAAAACCAUUCGGAUUAACGAAACCAUGCAUACAACAAAAACACAGACAACUUAUUUGGAUAAGCUCCCAAUCAGCGUGAUAUUCAGUAUAUUUUCCAUAUGUUGUGUUCCUACAUUUAAACUGUGUAUUAUUAUAUAUACAUUGUACACAUUUUCAUGAUUUAAACUAUAGUACAGUUUACUAUUUAAUCAUGAUAAGUUUC
Long non-coding RNA from Mercenaria mercenaria, 5029 nucleotides. RefSeq lists it as uncharacterized. The record is from RefSeq and is a predicted model, not a curated record. The transcript has 4 exons. NCBI's taxonomy places the organism in Eukaryota, Metazoa, Mollusca, Bivalvia, Venerida, Veneridae.